UCCGACCUACGGGGGGCAGCAGUGGGGGAUAUUGCACAAUGGGGGGAACCCUGAUGCAGCGACGCCGCGUGGGUGAAGAAGCGUUUCGGCGCGUAAAGCCCUGUCAGCAGGGAAGAAGAUGACGGUACCUGACCAAGAAGCCCCGGCUAACUACGUGCCAGCAGCCGUGGUAAUACGUAGGGGGCAAGCGUUAUCCGGAUUUACUGGGUGUAAAGGGGGCGCAGACGGCGAUGCAAGCCAGGAGUGAAAGCCCGGGGCCCAACCCCGGGACGGCUCUUGGA
This 281-nucleotide ribosomal RNA is filed under the name uncultured bacterium. Its description in RNAcentral is "partial 16S ribosomal RNA". It matches the Rfam family "Bacterial small subunit ribosomal RNA", at positions 331 to 631 of the family's 1533-position model. The record is from RNAcentral.